Acanthosepion pharaonis is the source of this 92-nucleotide non-coding RNA. The record is from the annotation of a GenBank genome assembly. NCBI's taxonomy places the organism in Eukaryota, Metazoa, Mollusca, Cephalopoda, Sepiida, Sepiidae.
UUACGGUCAUAAGACAUUGAAACACCAUUUCCCGUACGAUCACCGAAGUUAAGCAAUGUUGAGCCUGGUCACUACUUAGAUGGGUGACCGCU